Molecule: transfer RNA, 75 nt
Filed under: Myroides odoratus
Lineage: Bacteria; Pseudomonadati; Bacteroidota; Flavobacteriia; Flavobacteriales; Flavobacteriaceae
Also listed under: 58 other names
Description: tRNA-Ala(tgc)
Rfam family: tRNA
About the family: Transfer RNA (tRNA) molecules are approximately 80 nucleotides in length. Their secondary structure includes four short double-helical elements and three loops (D, anti-codon, and T loops). Further hydrogen bonds mediate the characteristic L-shaped molecular structure. tRNAs have two regions of fundamental functional importance: the anti-codon, which is responsible for specific mRNA codon recognition, and the 3' end, to which the tRNAs corresponding amino acid is attached (by aminoacyl-tRNA synthetases). tRNAs cope with the degeneracy of the genetic code in two manners: having more than one tRNA (with a specific anti-codon) for a particular amino acid; and 'wobble' base-pairing, i.e. permitting non-standard base-pairing at the 3rd anti-codon position.
Source: RNAcentral
GGGGGAUUAGCUCAGCUGGCUAGAGCGCCUGCCUUGCACGCAGGAGGUCAUCGGUUCGACUCCGAUAUUCUCCAC